Molecule: ribosomal RNA, 19 nt
Filed under: Gracilaria gracilis
Lineage: Eukaryota; Rhodophyta; Florideophyceae; Gracilariales; Gracilariaceae
Description: partial 18S ribosomal RNA
Source: RNAcentral
UCCGUAGGUGAAGGUGCGG